UGCGCAUGAAUGUUGGUUGUUUUGUGUUUUGAUCGUUUUGAUUUACAUUUUAUCAUGAACACACAUAUUUAUACGAUUACAUUAAAUAUUAGAUGAAAAAUAUCUUGUGUACUAAUAUGAUUUAUAAACGCUUUAUUCACUUGGAAUUAUCAGAUAUUUGUAUUAUCCAUGAAACAUUUUACGAUUAAUUAGAAUGAACAAUUCUGAAAACGAUAAACUAUCGAAAGACAUUGAAGAAGACGAUGUAAAUGUUAAAUCAGAAUCACCCAUUAAUUUAACUAUUAGUAAAAUGACUAUAAUUAACUUGGAACCUUUAAUCUGGCACAAUUAUGAUAAAUCUCCAGAAAAAUUGAAAGCUAUGAACACAGGAAGAACAAUUAUUGUUAAUGGCAAGUGGCAAGAAAACCACCAUCCUCUCUUGACUGGUGGACCAUUAUCUAAUAAUUAUAUCUUCUCUCAAUUUCAUUUUCAUUGGGGACCUAAUGAAAUGGUUGGAAGCGAACAUUAUGUGGAUAGUGCUAGUUGCAGUCACAAGCAAAUGAAAUAUUAAAUAACAUUAUCAAGUCUCUUCCUACCUUAAAAAGACCAAAUACUUCAACACGAAUAGCUGCAGAACCUAUCAGUAAAAUUCUUCGACCAUUUUCACAAAAUUAUUUUUUCUACAAUGGCUUACUCACGGAGAAAAAUGAUGAAUCUCAAGUUUUGUGGCUUGUUAGCAGGAGACCAAUUGGGAUAUCGAUCGAUCAAAUAGCUGAGUUCCGUAAACUAAAAAGUGUGCGGUUUAAAUCAAUAUUAAAUAAUUGCAAAUCAUUGAAAGAUGGAAAACAUGUAGAAGUUUUUUUUGUAAAUCCUUCAGGGUCUACACAUGCUUCAUUACUCCCGAUUAUUCAAGAUUAAUAAUUUUUAUAUUUGGUUGAUACAAAUAUACAUGAUCUUAUAAGUAAUUAUAAAUAAUAUUAUUUUUUUCGACGUCGACGCCGUUUAGCUCUU
RNAcentral lists this unclassified non-coding RNA (990 nucleotides) under Chelonus insularis. Its description in RNAcentral is "putative carbonic anhydrase 5, transcript variant X1". Lineage: Eukaryota; Metazoa; Arthropoda; Insecta; Hymenoptera; Braconidae. The record is from RNAcentral.